AGAGUUUGAUCAUGGCUCAGAACGAACGCUGGCGGCAGGCCUAACACAUGCAAGUCGAACGCUCCGCAAGGAGAGUGGCAGACGGGUGAGUAACGCGUGGGAACCUUCCCAGUGGUACGGAAUAGCUCAGGGAAACUUGAGGUAAUACUGUAUGAGCCCGAAAGGGGAAAGAUUUAUCGCCAUUGGAUGGGCCCGCGUAGGAUUAGCUAGUUGGUGAGGUAAUGGCUCACCAAGGCGACGAUCCUUAGCUGGUUUGAGAGAAUGACCAGCCACACUGGGACUGAGACACGGCCCAGACUCCUACGGGAGGCAGCAGUGGGGAAUAUUGGACAAUGGGCGCAAGCCUGAUCCAGCCAUGCCGCGUGAGUGACGAAGGCCUUAGGGUUGUAAAGCUCUUUUGGCGGGGACGAUAAUGACGGUACCCGCAGAAUAAGCCCCGGCUAACUUCGUGCCAGCAGCCGCGGUA
Molecule: ribosomal RNA, 466 nt
Filed under: uncultured Pseudomonadota bacterium
Lineage: Bacteria; Pseudomonadati; Pseudomonadota
Description: bacterial SSU rRNA
Rfam family: Bacterial small subunit ribosomal RNA
Source: RNAcentral